RNAcentral lists this ribosomal RNA (441 nucleotides) under uncultured bacterium. Its description in RNAcentral is "bacterial SSU rRNA". It matches the Rfam family "Bacterial small subunit ribosomal RNA", at positions 954 to 1392 of the family's 1533-position model. The record is from RNAcentral.
GCAUAACGCGAAGAACCUUACCAAGGCUUGACAUCCCCCUUGACCGGCACAGAGAUGUGCCCUCUCCUUCGGGAGCAAGGGUGACAGGUGGUGCAUGGUUGUCGUCAGCUCGUGUCGUGAGAUGUUGGGUUAAGUCCCGCAACGAGCGCAACCCUUAUCCUUAGUUGCCAGCACAUAAUGGUGGGCACUCUAGGGAGACUGCCGAUGAUAAAUCGGAGGAAGGUGGGGAUGACGUCAAAUCAUCAUGCCCCUUAUGUCUUGGGCUACACACGUGCUACAAUGGUCGGUACAACGGGAAGCGAAAGAGUGAUCUGGAGCAAAUCCCAAUAAACCGAUCUCAGUUCGGAUUGUAGGCUGCAGCUCGCCUACAUGAAGUCGGAGUUGCUAGUAAUCGCGAAUCAGAACGUCGCGGUGAAUGCGUUCCGGGUCUUGUACACACCG